CGCAUCUGUGCAUGCAGCAUAUCAAUAAGCGGAGGAAAAGAAACUAACAAGGAUUCCCUUAGUAACGGCGAGUGAAGCGGGAAGAGCUCAAAUUUGAAAUCUUCAAGGUUUUACCUUGACGAAUUGUAGUUUAAAGAAGUAGUUUUCUGCUGAAGUUUUGGUAAAAGUUCUUUGGAAUAGGACAUCAUAGAGGGUGAGAAUCCCGUAUUUGACCAUUAUUUUCAGCUUUGUGAUACACUUUCAAAGAGUCGGAUUGUUUGGGAAUGCAGUCCAAAAUGGGUGGUAAAUUUCAUCUAAAGCUAAAUAUUGGCGAGAGACCGAUAGCGAACAAGUACCGUGAGGGAAAGAUGAAAAGAACUUUGAAAAGAGAGUUAAACAGUACGUGAAAUUGUCAAAAGGGAAGCGUUUGACACCAGUGUUGUUUUCUGAAAAUCAAUUAAAGAACUGUUUAUGCUAAGCUGUUUAGACUUUAUCAGCUAAUCUGUUUAGUUUUGAGCUUUUCUUUAAUGCACUUUUCAGUUAACAAGUCAACAUCAAUUUCUUUUGCUGUAAAAAAGCUUGAGGAAGGUGGCUUGAGAUUCGUCUUAAGUGUUUAUAGCCUCUUGCCUAUGCAGUCGGAGAGAUUGAGGUCUGCAGCGUAGAUCCUUCGGGGCUAAAUGCAUUUGUGCUAAGUUAUAGCAUUUUAUAGACAACUUGUUGACUAUGAUUUGUCUUGUAGCUUACUCGCUUAUGUUAUUUUACCUACGCUUAGGAUGUUGAUAGUCACAGCGUGUAC
RNAcentral lists this ribosomal RNA (775 nucleotides) under uncultured Neocallimastigales. RNAcentral describes it as "partial large subunit ribosomal RNA". It matches the Rfam family "Eukaryotic large subunit ribosomal RNA", at positions 26 to 641 of the family's 3401-position model. Lineage: Eukaryota; Fungi; Neocallimastigomycota; Neocallimastigomycetes; Neocallimastigales. The record is from RNAcentral.